RNAcentral lists this ribosomal RNA (1554 nucleotides) under Klebsiella pneumoniae. RNAcentral's name for it is "bacterial SSU rRNA". It matches the Rfam family "Bacterial small subunit ribosomal RNA". Lineage: Bacteria; Pseudomonadati; Pseudomonadota; Gammaproteobacteria; Enterobacterales; Enterobacteriaceae. The record is from RNAcentral.
ACUUAAAUUGAAGAGUUUGAUCAUGGCUCAGAUUGAACGCUGGCGGCAGGCCUAACACAUGCAAGUCGAGCGGUAGCACAGAGAGCUUGCUCUCGGGUGACGAGCGGCGGACGGGUGAGUAAUGUCUGGGAAACUGCCUGAUGGAGGGGGAUAACUACUGGAAACGGUAGCUAAUACCGCAUAAUGUCGCAAGACCAAAGUGGGGGACCUUCGGGCCUCAUGCCAUCAGAUGUGCCCAGAUGGGAUUAGCUAGUAGGUGGGGUAACGGCUCACCUAGGCGACGAUCCCUAGCUGGUCUGAGAGGAUGACCAGCCACACUGGAACUGAGACACGGUCCAGACUCCUACGGGAGGCAGCAGUGGGGAAUAUUGCACAAUGGGCGCAAGCCUGAUGCAGCCAUGCCGCGUGUGUGAAGAAGGCCUUCGGGUUGUAAAGCACUUUCAGCGGGGAGGAAGGCGGUGAGGUUAAUAACCUCAUCGAUUGACGUUACCCGCAGAAGAAGCACCGGCUAACUCCGUGCCAGCAGCCGCGGUAAUACGGAGGGUGCAAGCGUUAAUCGGAAUUACUGGGCGUAAAGCGCACGCAGGCGGUCUGUCAAGUCGGAUGUGAAAUCCCCGGGCUCAACCUGGGAACUGCAUUCGAAACUGGCAGGCUAGAGUCUUGUAGAGGGGGGUAGAAUUCCAGGUGUAGCGGUGAAAUGCGUAGAGAUCUGGAGGAAUACCGGUGGCGAAGGCGGCCCCCUGGACAAAGACUGACGCUCAGGUGCGAAAGCGUGGGGAGCAAACAGGAUUAGAUACCCUGGUAGUCCACGCCGUAAACGAUGUCGAUUUGGAGGUUGUGCCCUUGAGGCGUGGCUUCCGGAGCUAACGCGUUAAAUCGACCGCCUGGGGAGUACGGCCGCAAGGUUAAAACUCAAAUGAAUUGACGGGGGCCCGCACAAGCGGUGGAGCAUGUGGUUUAAUUCGAUGCAACGCGAAGAACCUUACCUGGUCUUGACAUCCACAGAACUUUCCAGAGAUGGAUUGGUGCCUUCGGGAACUGUGAGACAGGUGCUGCAUGGCUGUCGUCAGCUCGUGUUGUGAAAUGUUGGGUUAAGUCCCGCAACGAGCGCAACCCUUAUCCUUUGUUGCCAGCGGUUCGGCCGGGAACUCAAAGGAGACUGCCAGUGAUAAACUGGAGGAAGGUGGGGAUGACGUCAAGUCAUCAUGGCCCUUACGACCAGGGCUACACACGUGCUACAAUGGCAUAUACAAAGAGAAGCGACCUCGCGAGAGCAAGCGGACCUCAUAAAGUAUGUCGUAGUCCGGAUUGGAGUCUGCAACUCGACUCCAUGAAGUCGGAAUCGCUAGUAAUCGUAGAUCAGAAUGCUACGGUGAAUACGUUCCCGGGCCUUGUACACACCGCCCGUCACACCAUGGGAGUGGGUUGCAAAAGAAGUAGGUAGCUUAACCUUCGGGAGGGCGCUUACCACUUUGUGAUUCAUGACUGGGGUGAAGUCGUAACAAGGUAACCGUAGGGGAACCUGCGGUUGGAUCACCUCCUUACCUUAAAGAA